Molecule: long non-coding RNA, 4528 nt
Organism: Eubalaena glacialis (North Atlantic right whale)
Lineage: Eukaryota; Metazoa; Chordata; Mammalia; Artiodactyla; Balaenidae
Exons: 5
Source: RefSeq, a predicted model, not a curated record
UAAAAAUACAGGAGGGGGCUUGGGUAAUUAACUAUUCUACUCUGCACUAGACUGACCACCCCUGGACUGUGUUUGAGCAAAGGCAAAGUGGUCCUAAGGAGAAAGACCAGCAUGGAGAGGAGAGGCUUCCUGAGAAGAAAGCCAGAACAAAGAGUGGAAGACAUCCAGAAGACCUGAACUGAAAGUAAAGAACAGUAUUCUUUGUUGGCUGUGCAGGGCUUGCCCUGUCACUGGAGGUGUCCUGGAGGGAAAUCUCUAUUUGGGUGGGAAGAUGGGACUCAGUGUCCUCCAUGGCUCCUUCCAAGUGGAGGAUUCUGUGACUUUGUUACUGAUGCAGAGAGCAUUUAGGCCCACAAUGAAUGGGCAGUCAAAAGUGAGCCAAGUUUAGAAUGGGUGAAUGUAGAUAGACGAGGUAGAGGAAGAAAACAGGGAAACCCCUAACCUGCUUGAUUCUUAGGGCUGUUUAUUUCAGGAAGGGCUAACAAUCUAGGAAAAUCAACUAUUUCCCACCAGCCCCCUUUAAAAGAUCUCAUCCCGAAUCCUCCCAGUCAGGAAGCGGGGGGCAUUUACAUCUGCUUUAGCAUACAUUCUCCAAAGGGUCUCAAUAUAUGCAUAUGGAGUCCAUAUGCAUAUGGACUCACAAUUUGCUGUGAGUCAAUCUGGAGCAUCUCUGGGCCCUUACACCUUACACCUAUCACCACUGUCAAAACUCCAGAAGGACAUGCCUACAAAGUCCAAUACAUCUUUUGCUUGUAGCAGUGUGGGCCCAUAAGUGAGGUGUGAAUGCCUGUGGGCCGUGACUGUGGCACAGCUAUCUGUAACUCUGUUCCCAGUAGUGCCAGCUUAGAAGGUGGGACAGGAUGUCCAUUCCUGGCUGAACUGCUUCCCUUCCCAGUGACUUGGGUGAACAUUCCCCUCUCAGCGCCUUUGAAUCUUCCUUCCCAGCACCAUAAUGACUCAUUAGGUAAAGCUGCUGGAGAAAUAUUGGACCCAAUAAGAACAGAUUCAAGGGUUACCUUGCUGCCAGAAGCCAGAGCAUAGCCUCCUCCCACCAGAAUGACAAUCUCCCAGGGCAUGGUCUUCUGGAAGUCCUUCCACGUGAUGAUGGGCUCCGUCCCCAGUGAGGGCUCCUGGUCCUCCCCUGGAUCACAGGUAGACAGCGAGGCAGAGCCAGAUGAACACUAAUGGGUGUGAUUUGUGGAGACAGGGGCCUAAUUGAUGAACCAGAGGAUACUCUGCUAUUCUGGGAGGAGUUGGAAGGGGUUUGGUAAGGCUCCUCCCCAAAUUCUGACUUCGACCAUUAUUUGACUAGAGCCAGCCCCAACUUCUUCUCUUGAACUCCUCUCACCAUCGUUCUUUUUCCCGAAGCAAGGCUUCUUCGCUGGAAUCAGGAAGAGGAGGAAGCCAAGGAAGACAGAGACUGUGGCGUCGGUGCGAUAGCCCUUCCUGGCGAAGAGACAAGAAGAGCUGGGGAGAGGGUCAGGAAGCUCAGGGGUAACACCGUGUCUCAGGACAGCCUGUCUGAACACAGCGCCUCUCUUGAGGACCUAGUCUAGAGGGGACGUCAACCUGCCUUCUUGCCAGUUGCUGCCAUGCUGUCCAGUGGUGGAUUUAAUGGGCAAUGGCUAAUGUCUGGAGGCAGGGCCUGGUUAGGGUAGAUGUCUUAGUGUGAAUUUAUGGACCUAUUAAAAGGAGUGGUCAGGAGUUAUUUAGAUAAAGGAGACUAGAAAAGGAUGAAUUCUCUUUCUUGGGAGGGUCACAAGCUGGCACUGAGAGCUUGUGGCCUGUGGCCCUGGCCCUCGGGAAUAUGUAGGGGUGGGACAGGCCUCAGCCACGAUGGCCAUGGUCUUUACAGGUGGUGUUUUACUCUACAGACAUAUUCUCCUUUAACUCUCAUAACAAUUGAGGUUCCAAGAGCUUAAGUAACAAGACCAAGGUCAUGUGGAUGGUAAGUGGCAGCUCUUGAUCCCAAGCCUGGACUCAGACUCCAAAGACUAUUUUCUUCCUGACUCCACACUGCAGCUUCCCUAAAAAAGGGGGACUUUCAAGGGAACAAAGUGCUUCCUGGGUCCACGACUAUCCCACAGAAUCUAGGAGGGGACACCGGUGGGUACUGCCUGAAGGGUUUGGGUUAGGGGGUUGUUCUCAGAGACAGUAUCCUUUACUUUUCAAAGAAGGAAUCCCAACCAGGAACAAAGCCAGGCUCCCGGGUAAACCACAGCACCGUCAUCAGGAUGAAGAAAAAUCCAGUCACCAUUUCCGGGUAGCUAUAAAAGAAAACAGACCCACUCCAGGAAUUGGGAAGUUUCUGUUAGCUUUCAAACUUUGCUUUGGGAUGCUCCUGUAUGCAGAGCUCCAAUAGUGGGGACCUAAAACGCAGCUACUGCUUAACCACUUGGACUUGGAAUACAGCAGAGGGGAAGGGUGGCCCUUAGAGUCUGGGCCAGCUUGACUUUGGCAUUAAGUAGCACCUCUAAAUGCCUUGAUUCGUAGUUGAGGAAAAUUCCCCCAGCUCAAGGGACCGCUGAGAACAAGGCUGCUUCUGUGCACACUUUACCUGCCACGCUUUCUCCUGGGGAAGGAGAGAGGGUGAAGGGCUGAUUCUUACGUAAUGGCUCCCAGCUUUUCAUAUUCCUCUUGGAUCCUCUUCUCUGAUAACUCUUCCCUUUUGGUCUUCUUCUUCUUACUCAGAGAGCAGGUCUCUUUAAAACUGAGAUGGGAGAAUGAGCAAAAGGAUAAAGGAAGCACACUUCUGAGGCCCAGAGGAGAACAGGUCUUAAGCAAAUACUAAACUACUGGUUGGCUGGCUGUGAUGGCUCUUCUCUCCACUCGCCCCACCUAUCAUGCGACUUGAUCUCUUGAUCUGCCAAGUUACACAGCCUCUCAUCAGCCUUCUCUCCAGCCUUUCAGAGCUCAUAGAGAAGUGCAGAGUCCACGUAUGUUUAGAGUGUCUAGAAGAUGUGAUGCCUGACUCCUCAUCUAGUCCACUGCAUCCUCCUCCGGGCAUCCUCUGUGGUUACUUGGCAGCUCCCCGUUGGGUGGCACCCUCCAGGGCUUGCGCCAUGGCCCUGGAUGGACAGGAGAGCCUUGAUGGCAGGGCCCUGGGACUCACUUGCAGCCCAGGAACAGCCAGUGCAUCCAGAACCAGCUGACCACCAGCAUGAUGAGGGAGAUGGGGAAGCUGAAGAGGAACCAGGUGCCGAAGUUGACCACUUCUGCUGCUGGAUACUGGCUGGAGGGGAAAGAACCAGAGAUUUCCUUGUGUGUGGUUGAUGAGUUCUGUGCAACAGAAGGAUCAUCUCUCCUCUCUGAGACCAUUUCCCGGGGCAGCUGAGAGGCAGCUUUGUGGUGGAAUUGGUGUUUUAAUUUCAUCCGUCUACCAACGAGAGGAACCCACAGAAGACCUGAGACACCAUUGUCCUCCUGGGUGAUGGUCCCCCACUGGCCCCAUGACUCAUGGCUCUCUGUGAAGCUUUUAAAGACUCAGUGCUACCAGGGUUACUUUCCCAGGGGACUGACUGACAACAUUUUAGUUUUCUGCCUCUUUGGCACAUAUCCUAAUAGACCCCAGUUGGUGAUGGCCUUUUAGGGGGCUCAGAGCCUGCACAAGAGGUGGGGCUACUUUCUUGGGGUUCCUCUCAAGGGCGAGGAGAAAGGAACCAACAUGUGGUAGAGUGCCUUUUACAUGCCAGAAAUGUAUUUUGCAUUCACUUUCUUGCUUAAGGUGAGGAAACAGACUCAGAGAGGUUAAGGAAGUUUUCCAGGGUCACAGUGUGAGGGGUGGAGUUGGGAUAUCAAUCCAGGUCCAUCUGAAUCUAAAGCUACUAUUCGACAUGCCACUCAGGGUGGCCAAGUAGAAACCACUCAUCUAAUUCAACUCCAGGGGAAAUUCUGGGUACCCCAGACAGCACGGGCCAGCCCACAUCCCUCAUCUUUAUUCAUAAUCACAGCCCUGACACUGGCCCCAAAUACCUGGGCCCGGUCCAAUGAGAGCCCCAGGCCCAGGUUUAGUGGGAUAUUGGCCCUGUGAUGUUUUCUUAUUUGGUGUUUGGUGUGCUCAGGUCUGUUCACGUGUCCUUCCUGCACCCUUGUAAGCGAUGCCACGUGUUUGGUGAUGUAGCCUGGGUGUAGUUUGUGACUCGGCUGUAUGCUGGGAAAGUUAUUCAACCUCUCUGGGCUUCAUUUCUCUCAUCUAAAAAAAUAAAUGAGGAUUAUAUGAGUCCCAAUCUUCUGUAAAGCUGUUGCGAAGAUUAAAUGACACAUGCAAACCAGCUAGCGUGGCCCGCCACGUUGACAGCCAGGGUUCCUGGUGGCUCUUCUGUUACUACGUGGUCCACACAAAGGCUGACCUGGUCUGAGGCCAUUAGCAUACAGAGAGGGCCCAGGCACAAUAAAUAAAAUCUUGUCCAAUGGUGUUGUUGGUUAGUUUUCUAGCCCACUGAUUUUUUUUUUUUUCUUUACAAUAAAACCUUGGUUACUUACAACCCCUCUGGGAGUUCCAGGAUUCUUGAGGAUUAUUUUAAUCAUU